GAGUUUGAUCAUGGCUCAGAACGAACGCUGGCGGCAUGCCUAACACAUGCAAGUCGAACGGACCCUUCGGGGUUAGUGGCGCACGGGUGCGUAACGCGUGGGAAUCUGCCCUUAGGUACGGAAUAACUCAGCGAAAGUUGUGCUAAUACCGUAUGAAGUCUUCGGACCAAAGAUUUAUCGCCUGAGGAUGAGCCCGCGUUGGAUUAGCUAGUUGGUGAGGUAAAGGCUCACCAAGGCGACGAUCCAUAGCUGGUCUGAGAGGAUGAUCAGCCACACUGGGACUGAGACACGGCCCAGACUCCUACGGGAGGCAGCAGUGGGGAAUAUUGGACAAUGGGGGCAACCCUGAUCCAGCAAUGCCGCGUGAGUGAUGAAGGCCUUAGGGUUGUAAAGCUCUUUUACCCGGGAAGAUAAUGACUGUACCGGGAGAAUAAGCCCCGGCUAACUCCGUGCCAGCAGCCGCAGU
This 466-nucleotide ribosomal RNA is filed under the name uncultured Alphaproteobacteria bacterium. Its description in RNAcentral is "bacterial SSU rRNA". It matches the Rfam family "Bacterial small subunit ribosomal RNA", at positions 9 to 521 of the family's 1533-position model. The record is from RNAcentral. Lineage: Bacteria; Pseudomonadati; Pseudomonadota; Alphaproteobacteria.